AAUAUACAACUAAAACAUACACAAUGUAAUACUCGUAGACGUGUCAUACAUCGAAAUGUCCAACAUAUAUGUGUUUUAAUUAUAGAAAUUCGAUAAAUUCUCAUUAAUCGUUUACCAGCGUAUAUCGUAAUGUUUAAUAAGUUGAAUUAUAAACUCAAUGGUUAUCACGAGUGUUCUUUUAUGUACCACUUUCACUGCAUUUUGGGGAAUGAACCCCUAUUCUGUAAGAAUGACACCAAAAGGUAAUUGUACCGAAUGUUGCCCUAUCGAAGAAAAAGAAGAUAUAGGCUUUUAUCUUUAUACCAGGUCUAAUACGAUGACACCUCAACGUCUAUGGGUGGAUAAUGCUACUUCUUUAUACGAAUCCAAUUUGAAAAUGUACCACCCGACUGUCAUUUACGUUCACGGGUUCACUGAACAAGCCAAUGCCAAAGGAGCAACGACCGUUAAAAAUGCUUAUUUAAUGCGAGGUUCGUACAACGUCAUUGUCGUAGACUGGAGCCCUCUAUGUGCAUUUCCAUGGUACGCUCACGCCGUCGUAAAUACUCACGCUGUCGGAUUGUAUUUAGCGAAAUUCGUCAGAUUUAUCGUCAGACACGGUGUACCCAUAAAAAGCAUACAUUUGAUAGGUUUCAGUUUGGGAGCAGAAAUCGUCGGAUUUACCGGAAAAGACACGACUUUUGGAAAAUUACCUAGAAUUACAGGGUUAGAUCCUGCUUUCCCUCUAUACAUGUUCUCAGGGAAACAAGGCCAUCUAGCAUCAACUGAUGCGGAAUUCGUUGACGUCAUUCACACGGAUGGCGGCGUAUUUGGAUUCCCAAUUGCUUUGGGUGACGCUGAUUUCUUCCCUAAUGGUGGUUUUCCAGCUCAACCCGGCUGCAGGAUUAAUUCAUUAUUGCAAAAGAAUCAAAUCAAGAGAAUUGUUUCCUGUAGUCACGAUCGAGCUUGGCAAUAUUACGCCGAAUCUAUUCUCAACGAAAAAGGGUUUCCAGCGGUCAGAUGCGCCAAUUACGAAACAUUCUUAGCCGGAGUUUGCCAUCAACAUUCAGAUCCUCGAACGAACAGGAGCGAAAUUCAAUACAUGGGAUUUGCAGCUAAUCCUCGCCUGAAGGGGAAAUUUUUCCUCGCCACCAAUAGCAGAGAACCAUUCGCGACUAAUUACAGAAAAUUAUGAAGAUAUUUUGACAAAUUUCUUCAAUCAUCAGUUAUCACCGCAAAACCUACUUAAUUUUGAUUUGCGGAUCGAAAAAUCAUACCCACAAACAGUCAAGUCGGGCAAGAUGACGCACCAAGGAAAGAUGCCGAAACUGUGACCAGACUUCUAAAAUAUUCAAACACAAUUUUCCUGAAUCUGUACCUGCUGAUUCAAGUAACAACUUUUUUCAAGAGCCGAAAAAAUUCAACAAUUCAUAAUUAAAGGAGCUGAAUUUGAUUCUGGUCCUUUCAAUAGUAAUAUUUUCCAAACUGGAAGAUUCAAAAAACCACUGGAAGCUUUAGAAUGACUCGAAGCCUCCAAAAAUCGAUUCGAGAAUUCAAUAAAAAUGAAUAGCUUUCAACCUCGAUUUAAUUAAACGUUGAAAUAAUCUUAAUUCCAAGAGGUGCGUUACUUUUUUUUUUUUUUUUAGUUUUUGGUUUUGGGAGAAUUUAAGUUUUGUUAAGUUAUGUUCUGAUUUUUUUUAGUUUUAGUUUUAGGGGAAAUAUAGGUUUUAAGUAUUAUACUUAUGUUUUGAUUGGUUAAUAAAAAUUUAGUUUUGUAUUGUU
RNA transcript from Planococcus citri (citrus mealybug), 1761 nucleotides. It is a transcript of the gene named pancreatic triacylglycerol lipase-like, with no coding region annotated. The record is from RefSeq and is a predicted model, not a curated record. The transcript is spliced from 8 exons. NCBI's taxonomy places the organism in Eukaryota, Metazoa, Arthropoda, Insecta, Hemiptera, Pseudococcidae.